This 227-nucleotide long non-coding RNA is filed under the name Elaeis guineensis (African oil palm). RNAcentral's name for it is "long non-coding RNA (EGUI_LNC030844)". Lineage: Eukaryota; Viridiplantae; Streptophyta; Magnoliopsida; Arecales; Arecaceae. The record is from RNAcentral.
AAGUCCUAAUUUUGAUUAAUCCUAAGAGAGGUCCUCGAUUUGUGUAUUAGGAUCAAUUAUCGGUAAUUUCUCUAUAUGUGAUUUUUAUAUUGAUCAGGGUCAUGAAGAGAUGAUUGUCUGCAUAUGAUAUCGAGUGAAAUAUUUUGUUAAAGAAAUUCAUAAAUCAAAGAAGAAAAUUGAUUUCUGUGCUUGAAUCAGUCAUCGGUAAAGGUAAGAAUCCCCGUACA